CCAAUAGCGUAUAUUAAAGUUGUUGCAGUUAAAAAGCUCGUAGUUGAAUUUCGGGAUCAGCGCGUCGGUCGUGCCUCCGGUAUGCACUGGCGCCGCUGGUUUCUCCCCUCUGAGGAACCGUGAUGUCAUUAAUUUGGUGUCGCGGGAAAUCAGGACUGUUACUUUGAAAAAAUUAGAGUGUUUAAAGCGGGCACGCGCUUGAAUACAUUAGCAUGGAAUAACGAAAUAGGACGUUCGAUCUUAUUUUGUUGGUUUCUAGGAUUGACGUAAUGAUUAAUAGGGAUAGUUGGGGGCAUUAGUAUUCAAUUGUCAGAGGUGAAAUUCUUGGAUUUAUUGAAGACUAACUACUGCGAAAGCAUUUGCCAAGGAUGUUUUCAUUAAUCAAGAACGAAAGUUAGGGGAUCGAAGACGAUCAGAUACCGUCGUAGUCUUAACCAUAAACUAUGCCGACUAGGGAUCGGAUGAUGUUAAUUUUAUAAUGACUCAUUCGGCGCCUUACGG
RNAcentral lists this ribosomal RNA (501 nucleotides) under uncultured Glomeromycotina. Its description in RNAcentral is "partial small subunit ribosomal RNA". It matches the Rfam family "Eukaryotic small subunit ribosomal RNA", at positions 591 to 1093 of the family's 1831-position model. Lineage: Eukaryota; Fungi; Glomeromycota. The record is from RNAcentral.